RNAcentral lists this ribosomal RNA (756 nucleotides) under Gyalolechia stipitata. RNAcentral's name for it is "SSU rRNA". It matches the Rfam family "Bacterial small subunit ribosomal RNA", at positions 408 to 1245 of the family's 1533-position model. The record is from RNAcentral. Lineage: Eukaryota; Fungi; Ascomycota; Lecanoromycetes; Teloschistales; Teloschistaceae.
ACUAAAAUUUUUAGUGUAAAAUCGACUAUGUUGAAUAAAAUUCUGGGUAGUAUUAUGAUAAUGACAUUACUUAUUCAUAAGUCUUGACCAAAUUACGUGCCAGCAGUCGCGGUAAUACGUAGAAGACAAGUGUUAUUCAUCUUUAAUAGGUUUAAAGGGUACUUAGACGGUAAAUCAAGCCUGAGAAUGGGACUAUUUUGCUAGAGUUUUAUGUGAAAAAGUAUUAAAGUACUACUGGUGUAGAGAUGAAAUUCUGUAAUACCUUAUAUGGCACAGGUUAUGGCGAAAGCAUCUUUUUAUGUAAAAACUGACGUUGAAGGACGAAGGCUUUGUGUCUCGAACAGGAUUAGAUACCCUAGUAGUCUAAGCAGACAAUGAUGAAUGUCAUAGAUUAGAUGUAGUUUGAUCUAUAAAUGAAAGUGUAAGCAUUCCACCUCAAGAGUAAUUUGGCAACAUUGGAACUGAAAUCAUUAGACCGUUUCUGAAACCAGUAGUGAAGUAUGUUGUUUAAUUUGAUAAUCCGCAAAAAACCUUACCACAAUAUGAAUAGAUAUAUUUUAUCAUACAAGCGUUGCACGGCUGUCUUCAGUUAAUGUCGUGAGACUUUGGUUAGUUCCAUAAAAUUAACGUAAACCCUUACUUUAUUUUAAAAUAAAGUAGUUCACCGCUAUAUUGGAUGUGAUAAUAGGGAUCAAGACAAGUCAUCAUGACCUAAAUAUUGUGGGCUAUAGACGUGCCACAUAUGCCUUACAAAGA